This 425-nucleotide ribosomal RNA is filed under the name uncultured bacterium. RNAcentral describes it as "partial 16S ribosomal RNA". It matches the Rfam family "Bacterial small subunit ribosomal RNA", at positions 354 to 796 of the family's 1533-position model. The record is from RNAcentral.
GUGGGGAAUCUUGCGCAAUGGGCGAAAGCCUGACGCAGCCAUGCCGCGUGGAUGAUGAAGGUCUUAGGAUUGUAAAAUCCUUUCACCGGUGAAGAUAAUGACUGUAGCCGGAGAAGAAGCCCCGGCUAACUUCGUGCCAGCAGCCGCGGUAAUACGAAGAGGGCUAGCGUUGCUCGGAUUUACUGGGCGUAAAGGGCGCGUAGGCGGACAUUUAAGUCAGGGGUGAAAUCCCGGGGCUCAACCUCGGAACUGCCUUUGAUACUGGGUGUCUUGAGUAUGAGAGAGGUGUGUGGAACUCCGAGUGUAGAGGUGAAAUUCGUAGAUAUUCGGAAGAACACCAGUGGCGAAGGCGACACACUGGCUCAUUACUGACGCUGAGGCGCGAAAGCGUGGGGAGCAAACAGGAUUAGAUACCCUGGUAGUCC